Molecule: long non-coding RNA, 785 nt
Filed under: Homo sapiens (human)
Lineage: Eukaryota; Metazoa; Chordata; Mammalia; Primates; Hominidae
Description: HSALNT0383527
Source: RNAcentral
CAAAGCCAUUAUGUUUCUGACUGUUUCCAUGAACUUUUUUUGGUGACAUCCAUUCUGUUAAGUCAUUCUUGAUUUCUUAAAAUAAGAGCCAGUGAAACCCAAGUCUGAAACAUCUUAUGGGAUCAGAUCACAAACUUCAUUUUCUUCUUUGGGUGGCAGUCUUCUUUUUUGACCACUUUACUGCAAAGACCAAGAGUUGUUACUUCUGAUCACACAUGGGUGCUGAGAAGGCUGCUAGGAUCAUUUGACUAUGGAAGACAACAGAAUGGUAAAGCUGGGAUGAUCAUGUGGAUCAUUCUGGAAGAGAGGAAAGCCCAAAGAAAUUUCCCAAGGCCUUGCAACUAGUUUUUGGCUUAUCCAGAAUACUUAACUCCAGGGUGACUUAGGUUGCCAUUUACUAAUAGGUGCAACUUGUGUGAAAGGAUGAGCAUUUUGAAGAACUGGAUGAAAACUCAGUUGGAAAAGCACAGGAAGCCUCUAAAUGAGAGACAGCUGAGUUGGGACAAGCACACAGAGUGCAGACUUAACUACACCCGUGCAAGGUGCAGUCCUGGUCAAUCAGAGUUAAUAAUAUCGCUCUUCACUGGGGAUGGAGGCUUCAGCCAGUUCAAAAUAGAAUGUCUCCAAACGAGGCAAGGAAAUGCAAGAUGAAGACAGCUCCUUUCAAGGACAGAGAGAUGUGAAGUCUUCUUGGUGAAGCAACACUCAAAUCCCAAGAUCUGACCUGCUUCUACCAAGAGACAAGAUUUUGCCAUCUUGCUUAAGCUGACCUCGAACUCCUAGGC